UACGAGGGGGGCGAGCGUUGUUCGGAAUUAUUGGGCGUAAAGGGUGCGUAGGCGGUUUGGUAAGUCUCGUGUGAAAUCUCCGGGCUCAACUCGGAGCCUGCACGAGAAACUGCCGGGCUUGAGUGUGGGAGAGGUGAGUGGAAUUCCUGGUGUAGCGGUGAAAUGCGUAGAUAUCAGGAGGAACACCUGUGGCGAAAGCGGCUCACUGGACCAUAACUGACGCUGAUGCCCGAAAGCUAGGGGAGCAAACAGG
Molecule: ribosomal RNA, 253 nt
Filed under: uncultured bacterium
Lineage: Bacteria
Description: partial 16S ribosomal RNA
Rfam family: Bacterial small subunit ribosomal RNA
Source: RNAcentral